UUUGGUUUGUUACGUGUGGUUGGCUGCGGCGUUUGCAACAACUUCCAUGCUUUCAGACCUCUUCAGUUGUGCGGCAAGGCUUGUAUCGCUUUGAGCGUAUUGUGGGUUUUCUGUGUUGGCUACCUAAUCAACGGUAUCGUUUGGAUUGAUCAAAGUUUGAUUUCGUCUUCCGUCGCGUUUGCGGCGUGAGGUGAACCUUGAUGCGGUCUCUUUGAUCCAUCUCGUCGAAGCACAUGCUUUGACGUUGUGGCACAUUGAGCAUUGCUUGGUGUCUUGUAUACGGAACACGUAGUGGGCAUGGAUCUAACGAUUCUUGUUUGCCCUCAUAUUAGCGUAACGCUUCUCUAACACGACUUGCACCACGUUUUAG
Molecule: unclassified non-coding RNA, 370 nt
Filed under: Artemisia giraldii
Lineage: Eukaryota; Viridiplantae; Streptophyta; Magnoliopsida; Asterales; Asteraceae
Description: partial external transcribed spacer
Source: RNAcentral